RNAcentral lists this long non-coding RNA (539 nucleotides) under Homo sapiens (human). RNAcentral describes it as "non-protein coding lnc-FNTB-4:2". The record is from RNAcentral. Lineage: Eukaryota; Metazoa; Chordata; Mammalia; Primates; Hominidae.
GUUUCUUCCUCUCCGUUCGGUCGGGAGUAGCAUCCUCCACUCAGCCACCCUUCCCACUCCCCCAUCGUGGGGCAGCUGCGGCUGAGGGCUGUGGCUUUGGCAGCUGCGACGGGGAGCGGCGGAGACCGCCUCUGCUCCCGCCUGGGGUUGCUGCUUUUGCUCAGAGGACAUCCAUGACCCUAAUGGUCUUUUUGUUCAAGAUAAAGUGAUUUUUUGCCUUUGUUGAUUAACUGGACAAAUUCAGGUACUGAGGCCGGGCGCGGUGGCUCACGCCUGUAAUCCCAGCACUUUGGGAGGCCGAGGCGGGCGGAUCACGAGGUCAGGAGAUCGAGACCAUCCCGGCUAAAACGGUGAAACCCCGUCUCUACUAAAAAUACAAAAAAUUAGCCGGGCGUAGUGGCGGGCGCCUGUAGUCCCAGCUACUUAGGAGGCUGAGGCAGGAGAAUGGCGUGAACCCAGGAGGCAGAGCUUGCAGUGAGCCGAGAUCCUGCCACUGCACUCCAGCCUGGGCGACAGAGCGAGACUCCGUCUCAAAAAAA